UACGAAGGACCCGAGCGUUAUCCGGAUUUAUUGGGUUUAAAGGGUGCGUAGGCGGAUUAGUAAGUCAGUGGUGAAAGCCCAUCGCUUAACGGUGGAACUGCCAUUGAUACUGCUAGUCUUGAGUAUGGUUGAGGUGGGCGGAAUGUGUCAUGUAGCGGUGAAAUGCUUAGAUAUGACAUAGAACACCAAUUGCGAAGGCAGCUCACUACGGAUAUAUUGACACUGAGGCACGAAAGCGUGGGGAUCAAACAGG
Molecule: ribosomal RNA, 253 nt
Filed under: uncultured bacterium
Lineage: Bacteria
Description: partial 16S ribosomal RNA
Rfam family: Bacterial small subunit ribosomal RNA
Source: RNAcentral